This 253-nucleotide ribosomal RNA is filed under the name uncultured bacterium. Its description in RNAcentral is "partial 16S ribosomal RNA". It matches the Rfam family "Bacterial small subunit ribosomal RNA", at positions 524 to 776 of the family's 1533-position model. The record is from RNAcentral.
UACGUAGGGUGCGAGCGUUAAUCGGAAUUACUGGGCGUAAAGUGUGCGCAGUCGGCCAUGCAAGUCGAGUGGGAAAGCCCCGGGCUUAACUUGGGAAUUGCGCUCGAAACUACGUGGCUGGAGUGUGGCAGAGGAAGGUGGAAUUCCACGUGUAGCGGUGAAAUGCGUAGAGAUGUGGAGGAACACCAAUGGCGAAGGCAGCCUUCUGGGCCAACACUGACGCUCAUGCACGAAAGCGUGGGGAGCAAACAGG